Molecule: ribosomal RNA, 726 nt
Filed under: uncultured bacterium
Lineage: Bacteria
Description: bacterial SSU rRNA
Rfam family: Bacterial small subunit ribosomal RNA
Source: RNAcentral
GCAGUCGAACGGUACGGUCUUCGGAUGCUGACGAGUGGCGAACGGGUGAGUAAUACAUCGGAACGUGCCCGAUCGUGGGGGAUAACGCAGCGAAAGCUGUGCUAAUACCGCAUACGAUCUACGGAUGAAAGCGGGGGAUCGCAAGACCCCGCGCGGACGGAGCGGCCGAUGGCAGAUUAGGUAGUUGGUGGGAUAAAAGCUUACCAAGCCGACGAUCUGUAGCUGGUCUGAGAGGACGACCAGCCACACUGGGACUGAGACACGGCCCAGACUCCUACGGGAGGCAGCAGUGGGGAAUUUUGGACAAUGGGCGCAAGCCUGAUCCAGCCAUGCCGCGUGCAGGAUGAAGGCCUUCGGGUUGUAAACUGCUUUUGUACGGAACGAAAGAGCUCUCUCUAAUACAGGGGGUGAAUGACGGUACCGUAAGAAUAAGCACCGGCUAACUACGUGCCAGCAGCCGCGGUAAUACGUAGGGUGCAAGCGUUAAUCGGAAUUACUGGGCGUAAAGCGUGCGCAGGCGGUUAUGUAAGACAGAGGUGAAAUCCCCGGGCUCAACCUGGGAACUGCCUUUGUGACUGCAUAGCUGGAGUGCGGCAGAGGGGGAUGGAAUUCCGCGUGUAGCAGUGAAAUGCGUAGAUAUGCGGAGGAACACCGAUGGCGAAGGAAUCCCCUGGGCCUGACUGACGCUCAUGCACGAAGCGUGGGAGCAACAGGAUAGAUACCCUG